This 460-nucleotide ribosomal RNA is filed under the name uncultured bacterium. RNAcentral's name for it is "partial 16S ribosomal RNA". It matches the Rfam family "Bacterial small subunit ribosomal RNA", at positions 338 to 795 of the family's 1533-position model. The record is from RNAcentral.
CCUACGGGAGGCAGCAGUGAGGAAUAUUGGUCAAUGGACGAGAGUCUGAACCAGCCAAGUAGCGUGAAGGAUGACUGCCCUAUGGGUUGUAAACUUCUUUUAUAAAGGAAUAAAACGAGGCACGUGUGCCUUUUUGCAUGUACUUUAUGAAUAAGGAUCGGCUUACUCCGUGCCAGCAGCCGCGGUAAGACCGCGGAUCCGAGCGUUUUCCGGAUUUUUUGGGUUUAAAGGGAGCGUAGAUGGGUUGUUAAGUCAGUUGUGAAAGUUUGCGGCUCAACCGUAAAAUUGCAAUUGAUACUGGCAGUCUUGAGUACAGUUGAGGUAAGCGGAAUGCGUGGUGUAGCGGUGAAAUGCUUAGAUAUCACGAAGAACCCCGAUUGCGAAGGCAGCUUACUAAACUGUGACUGACAUUGAUGCUCGAAAGUGUGGGUAUCAAACAGGAUUAGAUACCCCAGUAGUC